GGAAGACGCUGCCCCCUCUCCCCGCCCACACCCAAGGAAUCCUGGGAGUUGUAGUUCCUUAAGGGCAGCUGAGAGUCUUGAGAAGACCCUCGUACUCCAAUUCCCAGAGCCCCCUGGGAAAAGGGGUGGCUUGUUAAGGCAACCCCAGGGCAGGUGAAAGGCAGGACUUCUUUCUCCCUGCAUUGUAGGGGGCUGGAAUAGAUGGCCUUUGGGGGUCCCUUCCAAUUCUACAGUUCUAUGGUCCUACGCAGCGCAGAGUGGAACUCUCUUCCGGGUGCCACAAUUUAAGGAGAUUGACAAGCUGGAAGGUGUGCAGAGGAGGGAAAGCGAGAGGAUCAAAGGUCUGGAAUUUAAGCCUUAUGAGGAAUGGUUGAAGGAACUGGAAAAGAGGAGAGAUUAUAGCCAUCUUCAAAUACCUAGAGCAGCGGUUCUCAACCUGUGGGUCCCCAGAUGUUGUUGGGACCACAACUCCCAUCAUCCCUAGCUAGCAAGACCACAGCUCAGGGAUGAUGGGAGUUGUAGUCCAACCACAUCUGGGGACCCACAAGUUGAGAACUGCUGACCUAGAGCAUGUAUAGGUUGAGAGUGUUUGCCCCUCCAGCAGAUAUCAGGCACCUGCAGCCCACUACCAAAAUCAGCACAAUCGCUUUUGUGACUUUUGUGACUUGUCCCCACAAAACACUUCAUCACAGUUUCUUCCUGCCUAUUCAAAGGGCCUUUGCUGCACGAUACCAAAUGUAAGAAUUCACUGAUAAACGUAUCUCUGUGUUAACGGAAAAUCUGAGGGCUCCCUUGGACAAAAACAAAGACACCAACCAGAGCAAUUGGAAGCAAAUCAGCAGCCAGUAGGCUUGGUCUUUAUUGAAGAAAAGACUGUUGCAACAGGGUGUUCCCCUCACUUGCAGGAGAGAGGAAAGACCCAGAAAGAUGGUGUGCAAGACCUUAUAAAAACUUUUGAAAUUCCCCUCCUCUAGGUCAAGCCCACCCCCAGAAACAUCAUGCAUACAUUACAGAAAGGAGGGGUUGAGGGAGGAGUUGUGGUGGUGACCUGAGUGUCCUGUCACCUGGCUGGUUCCUCCUUUCCCCUGCCCAUGAGUCACUUCCAGGAGACAAAGGGGAGUUGGCAGUUUCCUGCCCCCAGAGGGAAGAUCUGAUCAUUGUCCUUUGUUUCAGUCCAUGCUGAAUCCACUCCCAUAUGCAAGUUCUUUGUGAUCUUGAUGGUCUUCUGUCUAGGACCAUCAGGGUUGGCAUAGCAACUGGGCAGGGCUCCUGUGGAUGUGCUGGGAUGGUGAAGGGAUUAUGGCUGACCAGAACCAAGCCACCCCCCUUUGAUAGUCCUUGUCAUAUGGAGUAAAAUAAAAAUGGAACAGUGCAAAUCCAAUGUAUGGUUGAUUUUUCUAUGAAUUUAUAACAGAAGUGUGGCAUAUGUAGUGUGUGAGUGUGAGUGUGUGAAGUUUGUACAAACUGAAUGAUUGGGGUGGGGGGGUUCCUGCUACAGUUCCCCCCUUCGGAGAUAAGAUUGCAAAGGUGGCUACUUUGCAAUCCUUUUCUCCGCACAAUUUAAGGUGGUAAAUAUUAACCUGCUAUUCUCCGUCCCAGAUGCGUGUGUCCAUGUGAACCUGAAAGGGACUUGGAUGUCACGCUUCUUAAGGAUAUUUGCAUAGAAAUAUAACAGUGUAACAGUGCACAUAGUUAGACAUAGGCUAUCACGUAAGAUUAAUAUUUUGUUGCUCAGUUACUUGUGGUAUUCUAGCACCUUGGAAGAAAUAUUUUCUCAAUAGUGGUCUAUGCUUUACAUUUAGCGGGAAGGUCCACCAAUGACUGAAAAAUGCAGUUUGCUUUGUCCCCCGCCAUUUUUGUGUUCUCAGGUGUCAAGGUAGCUCUUCUGUGGUCUCACAUCGGCAUGGUGUCACAGCAGUGGCAAUCCCUGGUGAAUCCACUUAGGGCUUUCACAUUAACCAUGUUGCCUGGCACUCACCACAGCUGGCACAGGUUUAGGACACGUCAUGAGAGAUAUGUCUUUGCCUUGGCCAUUCUAUGGGAUUUUAUUAUUAUAGGCUCUGGUCUUGCAGUCAUGGGAAGUUGCUCACUUGCACUUUAAGGACCAAAAGCUAAUUGCAGCCUGGAUACACUUGCCCAAUUCAAACUGAGUCCAAUUUGAAUUUUUCUUGCCCCAUGGUUCUCAACUUUUCUGUUAAAACAGAACCAUCCAAAUAAGUCAAUUUAACUCUAUAAGGGAUUAUUCCUGCUAAACCAAAGCAUAUACACCUUCCUGAAGCUUCUCCUUGGUAAAGCGAGUUUUAGCACAUUUUUAAAUGGGUAGGGAAGUUGGCAGAGUGCCAGGUGAAACAACGAAAUGUGGUUAUAAAUUUAUCUAAUUCUAAACAUUUGACUACACAAUAGCCUGACCUAUUAGAACGCAUAAACUGUAUGAGAAUCCUCCACUGGGGUGUAAGGAAUAAGACAUUAAACAUAAAAACAAUUACACACAAAAUAGCCCCGAUUUGUGGAAAUAACACACUGUCAGACACAUUUCAACAUUCCUACGUAAUAACACAUAAUACAAAACAAACUAAUUAAAUAUCAGUUGCAUAUCUCGAGACAAUUGGGAUAUUUUAUGUAUGUAUCUUUUGAAUCCUGGAGCACAGUCUUGAGGUUCAAAAGUGAGAAGAUGUCCUUGCAAUUCAACUCCACCCCCCUUUGUCAGGCCCACUCCCCCGGCAGUCUAUAUCCUUUGAAAGAGAUAGCUGUGGGCACUUUGAAACUUUGGUGUCUGUUGUUGUUGCAGGUCUUGUGGUGGCGAAGCUUUUCAUUGGAUCUGUAGUAACACAUUUGUAGAAGUGAUAUCCUGUAAGGGGCAGGGUUUUGAGGACUUAAAAGACAGAGUUAGAAAAGGGAAGGGGCAAAAGGCAAAAAGGAUGUCCUUCAGUUUCCGUUGGAAGCUGCAAAUAAUAAAAAUCUUAGUGGAUUAAGCAUUUCAUUCAUUCCAAUAUUAUUAUCACAUUUCCAUAUAAUUACUGUUAUUAUCUGCCAAGUUUGUUUGCUUUCCUUCACUUAGUUUGGCUGUGGAAGAAACGGAGGGACAAAACCUUUGUUAAUUUGAACACAAUUGGCAAGUUAUUAAACAUUUUGCUUAUGUGGGUCCGAGUUCACGUAUCCUGUUUUAAAGGGAAAUUUUUAUUUCCUUUGAAAAUCUCUGUCAGGAAUGCUGUUCCUAUAAUGCACACAAAGCCUGUUAUAAAAGUUAAAUCCCAUUGGGGGUGGGAGAACUAGUCAAGAGUGGAACUCACAGUGGGAGCGCUUUGAUAUUUACCUGUGAAAAGAAUUUGGCAUGUUAAGAUUUGAAACCUGGAAACCUCUUGACUUUUGAUGGGCUAGUACUUGACCCUUUUGUCUUACGUAGCCCCUGGAGCAAAGGACACAUUAAGGGUGAUUUCCCUCAAUGGUUCCAAGUUUUACAUAAGGAAAUUUGGAUAAGUUUCUCCCUGCAGCCCAAGCUCUCGAAACCUCCUCUCCCCCCUUACAGUUCCCCCCUUCCUCUCUCUUUCUCUCUCUCUCUCUCUCUUUCCUCCCUCCCCCCUUUUUUUUAGCUGAUCUAGCCUCUGUGUAUGUGCAGAGUUCAUGUCUCAGCAAACCUUUUAUACUAUUGAAAAUGUUGAAUCUUUGGGCUAAAUUACCAUUUGAGUAAGGGAAGGGAAGGGUAAGGAGUAGAUUUUAAAAAUAGGGUUAGAUUUUAAAACAAAAAAGAGAAACUCAGCGAUUCAAGUAUUCACCAAAGCUAGCAAUUGCAGCCCAAGCAAAGGGACUGCUUCCUUUAUGUACAGGAAAGGGCUAAUAUCCCUCUGGCCAUUCGCGGAACAAUGCCACGCCCUUAUAUAUGGGAAAAAAUGGCCAGAGAGUCAGAAUUCAUAGGAUUUUUUUUUAACAUUCUCAGUCAUUUCAGCCUUACCAUUUGCAGACAAAAUUUUCCUGCCCUUUAUUUACAGGAUGGUCAAGGCUACUCAAUUAUAUGUCAAGGCUCAUUCUACUUGAUUAUAUGAAUUUGUAUGUGCUUAAACUCUGAGUAGACUUUUAAGUCUGAUUUUUGUAAAUAAUAGACAAAAUGAUAAACACUGUAAUCACUCAAAUGCCUGAUAUCACCAGUUCUGCUUCAAAACAUCACAGCUUUCACCUCACACCUUUUAAAACUAAAGAGCAAAGCUAGGCUGAAUUUCAACUCCAUCACCACACCAGAAUUUAAGAAUUACCCUCCAAUGCUUGCAGACACAUGUCCUUCCACACAGCCAGAAAUUGGGAGAGUUGAAAAGGGACCCUGGGGUCAUCUAGUCCAACCCUCCAAAAUAUAGGGUUCAUAGCAAGUUUUCACAGCAAGAUUUGUACUACCAAAGAGACAUACACAUUUAAGUACAGAUUUACAACUGGGAAAGGAAACAUCUAUGCUCCUAUCAUGUACUAAGGAAGAGGAAAAUAAAAGUACCCAACUUUAUAAGGAACCCUUUUAGCAGAUCUUGAAGCUAGUUUGAGUGAGAGUUUACUUCCUUAGACUAAAGAGUGCAAGUUUCUAGAGAAAUUAUCUUUAAAGGAAGAUUGAAGUGAACAUUUUUUCUAAGAUAGGGAGAGGGUCUUUAUUAAGCAUAGUUAAAACAGCCAUAGAUUUGAUUUUAAAGGGAAUACAAAAGUGAACAAUUUUUAUUUCCUUGAACUUGCAGAGGAAUAGCAAGCCUAUUUUAGAUUAUUAUUAUUUUUAAUAACUACACAUAGGAAAGUGAGAUGCAGGGUACCUUAGGAAAGAUUGCUCCCCCCUCUUUGCAGUUUCCUUUAAAGGAAGCUUACUCGGGAGUAAAUUUACCUGGCACAGAAGUAAGAAGGGGAAAAAACCUGAAAGAUACAGAAUGAAACAGGGGGGGGCAUUUUCUAAGAAAAGAGGCCAGGAAGUCUUAUAGAGACUGAUAUCAGGACUGGACUCAGAUAGACAAUUUUUGCUGGCCAUGGAAACCUCUACAUUUAAUAACAAUUUUUCUCAGAAAGAACACCAUACUUUCAUAGGCAUAGGCUUAAUGAAAUACAUACACUGCAUUUUAGCUUGAGAGAGCAGUUGGCUCAACUAGGCUUUUGCAGCAGAAACAUUAGUUUCUUCACAGCACAUCUCAAAAUACUGGAACAAAAAGACUGGAACUCAUAAACUCAAAAGUUGCAGCAAAACAUCAUCUACCAUCAACUUAAAAUCAUACUCCUUACUUAAGCUACUCGGAGGAAGACUCUUUGGAGCCUCUCUCAAAUAACAAACAUUUGCACACUUCAUUCUUCUUCCUUUUUUAUUUAUUUAUUUAUUUUUUGUCCUGUUUAAGAUUGAUAAGGCCCAACAUGGCUUUCUUAGAUUUAAAAUUUUUGAAGCAAGCUUGCAAUUUAAAAACUAUGUGCAUUUAAGAACAGUCUGUGGAUGCAGAGGCCAAUGUAAAUACAAACCCUUGAAAUAUUUCUAAAUCUUUGAAUACAUCUCUUAUUCAUUUUUUUAAAAAAAUUAUUAUUAUUAUUAUUUUUUAGAGAAACUAAGAUCUCUAAUGCGUGGGCUCUCAGGCUGGGCUGUUAUUAUAUCUACUACCUUCUGAGCACCAUUAAAUUUACGGUUUCAUGUUCUAGCUUUAGGUUAUAGUUUAACAACACAAAUUUGAUGUGUUCAGCUCUCCCUAAGGGUUCACACCCUGAUUUUGUUGAAGGAUCCCUGAGGUGGCCGCUGUGCCCUGGGUUCCAGGUGGUGGGCCUAAGCCACCCACUAAAAGUUACAACAGUCUCGUACUUUGUACUUGGAAAGACCAUUUUGCCCCUUUAUUUUAUUUUUAUUUUUUCCCAAUUGGAGAUGACAAGCUGGAGGGGCGUAUCAGAAUCCUCUCUGGGGCAAAAAGGCUUCAUGGAAGCUUUGUUGCCAGGAGGAGUCCAGCUAGGGGGUUUAGUGAGCUCCCAUUUCUCUUUUGGGGGGGGGGGGUUGCUCAGUAGAUUAGUACAGUUGUCGGGGCUUCUCAUCUGCCAGGUAAGACCUAAGUGCUUGCAUCUUCACGAGAUUAAAGGAACCGUGAGGUGGCCAUUGCGAGGCCGGCUCGAGGUGUUGGGUAAAGCGACCCACGAGAUGUUGCAAAGGUCCCUCAGUUUGGACUUUGAGAGUCCCUUCCUCCCUCUCAACUCUUUCCAGUUUAAGAGAACAAAUUGAAGAGGGGUAUCAGAGUCCUCCCUUGGGCGGAAAGGCUCCGCGGAAGCCUUAUCGCCUGGAGGAGUCCAGCCUGAAUGCUUGGAAGCAUGGGCCCCCAUUCUUUUGCAGUACACUAAAGACAGAAAAAGUGGACAGAAGGGGCAAUGGAAAAGGAAAAGAGGGGCAGGUAAAAAAGGGGAAAAAAUAUCCUUUCAGUACUCGAAGUAUCCUUGACUAACCCAAUUUCUACCUAUCUGUAAGUCACAAAUUACUUUCAGGAAAAUCUCAGACAUGAACCUAAAACAAAAACCACGGGUCUCCUCGCCCGAAACUCAAACCACGGGUCUCCCUGCCCGAAACUCAAACCACGGGUCUCCUCGCCCGAAACUCAAACCACGGGUCUCCUCGCCCGAAACUCAAACCACGGGUCUCCCUGCCCGAAACUCAAACCACGGGUCUCCUCGCCCGAAACUCAAACCACGGGUCUCCUCGCCCGAAACUCAAACCACGGGUCUCCCUGCCCGAAACUCAAACCACGGGUCUCCUCGCCCGAAACUCAAACCACGGGUCUCCUCGCCCGAAACUCAAACCACGGAUCCGGAAUUCCUUUGCCUCAGCGCUGUUUACAAGACUAACCCUAGUGUGGGGCCCCAAUUUGUGAACCUCCCGCUCUGCUCUCCACGACAGCCUCCUGCCUAGCCUUUAGACUAAAUUCGGGCUCCCUACUGGACGCCUGCGCAAUGCAGUGCCAGAUUGAGGUCCGAGAAAACAAAGUUUAGAAAGGAAGCAAAUGACCUUGCGUUCUCACGUACCCGGGUCAUCCCCAACAAGGGUCACCGAGCAGGGGGGGGCGGCUUCAUUUGCGUAAGCAGGGGAGAGAGAGAGAGAGAGAGAGCAGGAGAGAUUUGGAUGGACGCCUCCGGACGACUCCGAGGGAGGAUGUCAGAGAAAUGCCAAAGUACCGCACUUUUCCCCGGCCACACUCCGAAAGGGAAAAACGGGGAGAAAAGGAGAGAGGGAGGUUUUGGAUGGACGCCUCCGGGCGACUCCGAGGGAGGACGUCAGAGAAAUAGCAAAGCACCGCGUUUUCCCUGGCCCAGCUCCGAAGGGGAAAACGGGGGAGAAAAGGAGAGAUCUUUUUAGGACGUUCCUGGACGACUCCGAGACGUAACGUCGGAAAGCAGCAAAGGUUCCGCAAUUUCCCCGGCCCAGCUCCGAAAGGGAAAUAGGGGAGAGACAGAGAAAGUUUAGGACGUUCCUGGACGACUCCGAGAGGUAACGUCGGAAAGCAGCAAAGGUUCCGCAAUUUCCCCGGCCCAGCUCCGAAAGGGAAAUAGGGGAGAGACAGAGAAAGUUUAGGACGUUCCUGGACGACUCCGAGAGGUAACGCCAGAGAUAGAAGGAAGAAAAGGUCCAGCUGUCGUGGGGACGUUGCUUUCCACCCCCCUCCCAAUGUAUUUUCUUCAAACCAUACUCACGUUCGUAGAUGUCCCUCGUGGAUCCCGGGAUCCUUUCCCCUUAGCCGGCUUGACCUUGCCUUUGCUUCCCCUGGUUGAGCUUUUGGUGACGAUUGAUUACCGCCCGCAAAGAGGAGGCAGGGAGAGAAAGAAGGAUUCCUGGGCUAAGGUUGCCCAGUGGCGCCUGAUCCCCUCUAUCUCCCUCCUCACCUUCGCAGGAGAACCAAGUGUCCCUGAGCACGGUCGCCAACUGUUAACGGAAAAUCUGAGGGCUCCCUUGGACAAAAACAAAGACACCAACCAGAGCAAUUGGAAGCAAAUCAGCAGCCAGUAGGCUUGGUCUUUAUUGAAGAAAAGACUGUUGCAACAGGGUGUUCCCCUCACUUGCAGGAGAGAGGAAAGACCCAGAAAGAUGGUGUGCAAGACCUUAUAAAAACUUUUGAAAUUCCCCUCCUCUAGGUCAAGCCCACCCCCAGAAACAUCAUGCAUACAUUACAGAAAGGAGGGGUGACAUCAUGAAAGGAGGAGGAGUUGUGGUGGUAACCUGAGUGUCCUGUCACCUGGCUGGUUCCUCCUUCCCCCUGCCCAUGAGUCACUUCCAGGAGACAAAGGGGAGUUGGCAGUUUCCUGCCCCCAGAGGGAAGAUCUGAUCAUUGUCCUUUGUUUCAGUCCAUGCUGAAUCCACUCCCAUAUGCAAGUUCUUUGUGAUCUUGAUGGUCUUCUGUCUAGGACCAUCAGGGUUGGCAUAGCAACUGGGCAGGGCUCCUGUGGAUGUGCUGGGAUGGUGAAGGGAUUAUGGCUGACCAGAACCAAGCCACCCCCCUUUGAUAGUCCUUGUCAUAUGGAGUAAAAUAAAAAUGGAACAGUGCAAAUCCAAUGUAUGGUUGAUUUUUCUAUGAAUUUAUAACAGAAGUGUGACAUAUGUAGUGUGNNNNNNNNNNNNNNNNNNNNNNNNNNNNNNNNNNNNNNNNNNNNNNNNNNNNNNNNNNNNNNNNNNNNNNNNNNNNNNNNNNNNNNNNNNNNNNNNNNNNCAUUGUUUACCUCCUGUCUGGCAGGUUACCUGUUAAUGCUUACUUGAUUGGAUUACCUGGGGAGCCUGGCCAGUCUAUUGCAAUGACAAAUACUUAGUUCCUGAGCCAGGUCACAGGCUCACCCUAUUCAGACAUAGACAUACCCUUAAGACAGGAUUUCUGAAAGAAAAGACAAUGGGGAGGCUUUUCCAUUUGACUUUGACAUUGCAGAGAAAAAAAUUGAAAAUGGUUUCAGGGCGGUCCUCCUGUGCUGCUCCAGAAAUGUGGUCCACACAACUAUGUAUGCGCUUGGUUGGUACAUUUAUGAACAUUUUAUAUAUAUAUAUAUAUAUAUAUAUAUAUAUAUAUAUAUGACCUUAAAUUUUUCAUUUCAGAGGAGAUAUGAGAGCUGUCUUCAAGCAUCUGAACGGCUGUCGCAUGGAAGAUGGUACAAACUUGUUUUCUCCUGCUCUGGAGGGUAGGACCCGAACCCAUGGCUUCAAGUUACAAAGAAAGGAGAUUCCGACUAAACAUCAGGAAGAACAUUCUGACGGCAAGAGCUGUUUGUCAGUGGAACGGACUCUCUCAGAAGGUGGUGAACUCGUCUUCCUUGGAGGUUUUUAAGCAGAGGUUGCGUGGCCAUCUGCCAUGGAUGUUUUAGCUGAGAUUCCUGCAUUGCAUGCAGUGGGUUGGGCUGGAUGACCCCUGGGGGUACCUUCAGACUCUACGAUGCUAUGAUUUUUCUCCCUCUUACUUAACUUUGCAGCUGGCAUUCAGAAUCACUGCUGCCUCCAGCUGCCUUCACGGUUAGCAGCCAUCCACCACCUCCUUCCUGAAUUUGCCUAACCACCCUUGUCCUGACCUAGCCAUUGUGAUUCAUGCGACGGUCACCUCCAG
RNAcentral lists this long non-coding RNA (9548 nucleotides) under Podarcis lilfordi (Lilford's wall lizard). Lineage: Eukaryota; Metazoa; Chordata; Lepidosauria; Squamata; Lacertidae. The record is from RNAcentral.